This 305-nucleotide ribosomal RNA is filed under the name uncultured bacterium. Its description in RNAcentral is "bacterial SSU rRNA". It matches the Rfam family "Bacterial small subunit ribosomal RNA", at positions 499 to 805 of the family's 1533-position model. The record is from RNAcentral.
GCCUACGGGAGGCAGCAGCCGCGGUAAUACGUAGGGAGCAAGCGUUAUCCGGAUUUAUUGGGUGUAAAGGGUGCGUAGACGGGAAUGCAAGUUGGUUGUGAAAUCCCUCGGCUUAACUGAGGAACUGCAACCAAAACUACAUUUCUUGAGUGCUGGAGAGGAAAGUGGAAUUCCUAGUGUAGCGGUGAAAUGCGUAGAUAUUAGGAGGAACACCAGUGGCGAAGGCGACUUUCUGGACAGUAACUGACGUUGAGGCACGAAAGAGUGGGGAGCAAACAGGAUUAGAAACCCCUGUAGUCCUAGAG